CGUUCAUAUCACACAGGCUCGUGACUUAAAAUAAAUAUGCUCGACUUCGUCUUUGGAAAAGCUUGCUUUCUAGAGCAGUGAACCAGCCAUCCAGAGAGGGUUGCUGAGCGAUGGCCUUACCUCCCCGGUCCCCCGUCGAGGAUGGUCACAGGGGAGGAUGCCCAUGGCGACCACGGCUGUCAAACGCUGUUUCCAUGAUGCCAAAGAAUGAUUGGUUUCAUGGAUCCGGACAGUGCUCUCUGACAGCACAGGGGGAGUCUCGGCUGCACCUGGGAGAAGAAACACUGGCAGCAUGUGAAAUGUUACUGAACAGGGUCAUUGCAAGGGUCAUCGUAUGACCUGUCACCCCCCCCUCCCCGUCAUCAAGGAAUUUACAGCCAGGCCUCGUGCUACAUGUUGAGAAUAUUAGGUCUGAAUUUAUCCUUUGUUUGAGCCUGAGUUAUAGUCUCUGUGCUUUCUGUGAGGCUGUGGUGAAUCUGCAGACAACAAUGUCUUGGUUUGAAAAGUGAAGCAGCAAGGACACCGCUCCUGACAGCUGACGCUUCUGUGAAUAGUCUUUUGUCAUUAAAGUUCAACUACAGCGGCUGACAGCUAAGAAAUCAAGGUUUAAAUCUUUAAUUGGGAGGGAGUUAUUCACAAGAUACCUAAUUUGCGAAGUGCUGCAAACAAGCACCGCAUUUCCAAGUCUGACUCAUGUCUAGCCCAGUCUGUGGAAAAGCACUGCCAGUGCCAUUGAUUGUCAGUGGGCUUUUUUUUUUUUUUUAGUGAGGCUUGUUAAGCAUGAAUGACAAAGCAAGUGAUGGGACCCAACGACAGCAGCUCCCUCACUUUAUUUUCCCUCGCAGCGUGUUUUUAUCACACCGUGGCUUUAGCAUAUCUCUUAAAGAUGUGGUCUUCCUGAGAAUCCCACUGCACCGAGCCCACGACAGUUUUAAUGAUUGAUCACUUUCCUCUUGCCUGUGGUGAAAGGAAAGUGAGGGGGGUGAAUAAGAAAGAAAAAGGAAAGGGAGCAAGUAGGGGCGUGGACAAUCCCACAAGGUCAGAGUGAUGUGUCCAGGCUUUUGUUUUCAGUGGUGAGAUCAGUGGCCUGUGCAGCCACGAGGGGACGUGCAAAGUAAGUGGCGGCCUGGCAGGAACAGAUGUUCUUACACAAUGAACAUGCACUUGGUUGUUUGCUUAUUCACUAAAACUCAAGGAGAUGACUUCCCCUUUUGGAAACAAAUAAAAAUACAGACAAAAGUCGUUGCUUUUCCACCUGUAGGCCUCUGGGGAAAAUGUUGCUGAGUCAAU
Astatotilapia calliptera (eastern happy) is the source of this 1290-nucleotide long non-coding RNA. The record is from Ensembl. NCBI's taxonomy places the organism in Eukaryota, Metazoa, Chordata, Actinopteri, Cichliformes, Cichlidae.